GAUGAACGCUGGCGGCGUGCCUAAUACAUGCAAGUCGAGCGAACGGACGAGAAGCUUGCUUCUCUGAUGUUAGCGGCGGACGGGUGAGUAACACGUGGAUAACCUACCUAUAAGACUGGGAUAACUUCGGGAAACCGGAGCUAAUACCGGAUAAUAUUUUGAACCGCAUGGUUCAAAAGUGAAAGACGGUCUUGCUGUCACUUAUAGAUGGAUCCGCGCUGCAUUAGCUAGUUGGUAAGGUAACGGCUUACCAAGGCAACGAUGCAUAGCCGACCUGAGAGGGUGAUCGGCCACACUGGAACUGAGACACGGUCCAGACUCCUACGGGAGGCAGCAGUAGGGAAUCUUCCGCAAUGGGCGAAAGCCUGACGGAGCAACGCCGCGUGAGUGAUGAAGGCCUUCGGAUCGUAAAACUCUGUUAUUAGGGAAGAACAUAUGUGUAAGUAACUGUGCACAUCUUGACGGUACCUAAUCAGAAAGCCACGGCUAACUACG
This 495-nucleotide ribosomal RNA is filed under the name uncultured bacterium. RNAcentral's name for it is "partial 16S ribosomal RNA". It matches the Rfam family "Bacterial small subunit ribosomal RNA", at positions 28 to 505 of the family's 1533-position model. The record is from RNAcentral.